The sequence is a ribosomal RNA, 437 nucleotides long. It matches the Rfam family "Bacterial small subunit ribosomal RNA", at positions 341 to 792 of the family's 1533-position model.
ACGGAAGGCAGCAGUGAGGAAUAUUGGUCAAUGGAGGAAACUCUGACGCAGUGACGCCGCGUGCAGGAAGAAGGUUUUCGGAUUGUAAACUGCUUUAGACAGGGAAGAAAAAAAUGACAGUACCUGUAGAAUAAGCUCCGGCUAACUAAGUGCCAGCAGCCGCGGUAAUACGUAGGGAGCAAGCGUUAUCCGGAUUUAUUGGGUGUAAAGGGUGCGUAGACGGGAAGUUAAGUUAGUUGUGAAAUCCCACGGCUCAACUGUGGAACUGCAACUAAAACUGAUUUUCUUGAGUACUGGAGAGGAAAGUGGAAUUCCUAGUGUAGCGGUGAAAUGCGUAGAUAUUAGGAGGAACACCAGUGGCAAAGGCGACUUUCUGGACAGAAACUGACGUUGAGGCACGAAAGUGGGGGGAGCAAACAGGAUUAGAUACCCUGGUA